Molecule: ribosomal RNA, 468 nt
Filed under: uncultured bacterium
Lineage: Bacteria
Description: partial 16S ribosomal RNA
Rfam family: Bacterial small subunit ribosomal RNA
Source: RNAcentral
GACGAACGCUGGCGGCGUGCUUAACACAUGCAAGUCGAACGGAAAGGCCCUGCUUUUGUGGGGUGCUCGAGUGGCGAACGGGUGAGUAACACGUGAGUAACCUGCCCUUGACUUUGGGAUAACUUCAGGAAACUGGGGCUAAUACCGGAUAGGAGCUCCUGCUGCAUGGGGGGGGUUGGAAAGUUCCGGCGGUUGGGGAUGGACUCGCGGCUUAUCAGCUUGUUGGUGGGGUAGUGGCUUACGAAGGCUUUGACGGGUAGGCGGCCUGAGAGCGUGACCGGGCACCAUGCUCCUAAGAGACGCCCCAGUCUCGUAUGGGAGGCAGUAGUCGGGAACCUGGCAGAGUGGGGGGACGCGUGUGGUAGAAGUGUUCCGUUCGUGAUGCUCUCUUUCUAGUGGAGAACAGCUGUGGAAGUUGCCGUAGCGGUAUUGACGGUAACUGGUCAGGAAGCACCGGCUAACUACGUG